This 28-nucleotide unclassified non-coding RNA is filed under the name Mus musculus (house mouse). Its description in RNAcentral is "oocyte_clustered_small_RNA8202". The record is from RNAcentral. Lineage: Eukaryota; Metazoa; Chordata; Mammalia; Rodentia; Muridae.
UGCAGACCCACAAAGAUGUACUUACUGU